RNAcentral lists this non-coding RNA (82 nucleotides) under Chromera velia. Lineage: Eukaryota; Chromeraceae. The record is from RNAcentral.
GACCGACCCAUCAACUCACGUGAGAAAGGCAGGCAGGGAUACGUUAGCGUCAUGGACAUAAGGUACAAACGACAAUUUGUGU